RNAcentral lists this transfer RNA (73 nucleotides) under Fusarium pseudograminearum. RNAcentral's name for it is "tRNA-Val (CAC) (tRNA-Val-CAC-3-1)". It matches the Rfam family "tRNA". Rfam says of the family: Transfer RNA (tRNA) molecules are approximately 80 nucleotides in length. Their secondary structure includes four short double-helical elements and three loops (D, anti-codon, and T loops). The record is from RNAcentral. Lineage: Eukaryota; Fungi; Ascomycota; Sordariomycetes; Hypocreales; Nectriaceae. RNAcentral also lists the same sequence under 1 other name.
GGUCGAGUGGUGUAGUGGUGAUCACGUUCGCCUCACACGCGAAAGGUCUUGGGUUCAAUCCCCGAUUCGACCU